AGAUUGAACGCUGGCGGCAUGGCUAAAGCAUGCAAGUCGAACGAGAAAUUCANCUUCGGGUGGAGAGUAAAGUGGCGAACGGGCGAGUAAUGCGUUUCUAACGUACCCUAAGGCCAGGGAUAGCUCGGGGAAACCCGGGGUAAUACCUGAUGAUCCCGUCGGAUCGCAUGUUCUGACGGGCAAAGGCUUGCCACCUUGGGAUCGGGGAACGUCCUAUCAGGUUGUUGGUGAGGUAACGGCUCACCAAGCCUUGGACGGGUAGCGGGUGUGAGAGCACGACCCGCCGCAUCGGGACUGAGACACUGCCCGGACUCCUACGGGAGGCUGCAGCAACGGAUCUUCCGCAAUGCGCGAAAGCGUGACGGAGCAAUGCCGCGUGCAGGAUGAAGCCCCUCGGGGUGUAAACUGCUGUCAGGGUUUAGGAAUUUUGACCAAACCCAAAGGAAGGGCCGGCUAACUUCGUGCCAGCAGCCGCGGUAAUACGAAGGGCCCGAGCGUUAAUCGGAAUCACUGGGCUUAAAGCGUGCGCAGGCGGACACGUCAGUGUCUUGUGAAAUCCCACGGCUCAACCGUGGAACUGCAGGGCAUACUGCGUGUCUUGAGGCGGGUAGGGGCUGCCGGAACUCUAGGUGUAGCGGUGAAAUGCGUAGAUAUCUAGAGGAACGCCGAAGGUGAAGACAGGCAGCUGGGCCCGUUCUGACGCUCAGGCACGAAAGCGUGGGGAGCGAACAGGAUUAGAUACCCUGGUAGUCCACGCCGUAAACGAUGCACACUAGNUCCGGGAGGUCCUGACAUCAUCCGGGCCGAAGCAAAAGUAUUAAGUGUGCCGCCUGGGGAGUACGGUCGCAAGGCUA
RNAcentral lists this ribosomal RNA (854 nucleotides) under uncultured bacterium. RNAcentral's name for it is "bacterial SSU rRNA". It matches the Rfam family "Bacterial small subunit ribosomal RNA", at positions 26 to 896 of the family's 1533-position model. The record is from RNAcentral.